Long non-coding RNA from Eublepharis macularius, 492 nucleotides. RefSeq lists it as uncharacterized. Lineage: Eukaryota; Metazoa; Chordata; Lepidosauria; Squamata; Eublepharidae. The transcript is spliced from 3 exons. The record is from RefSeq and is a predicted model, not a curated record.
GGAAAAAGAAGGCGUAGCCCAUAGGCGUCCAUGGAACGGCGAAAAAUCAGCCCCCUCUCUGAGCGCCUCGCCCCGCCCCUAUGGCCCGAAGGAGCAUAGGAUGAGAACUAUCCCGGGGACCAAUCAGCGUGCGCGCCCGGCGUGGACGAGCCCCCCUCUCUGCACCCAAUCACCUGCGACCGCGCCCUACAAAACAUCCGGCCAGCGCCACCCAAACCCCCAGGUGCCCUGACUCUGGCGCUCCCACCUGGUGAUGACCGACGGAGCGCUGACAGGCACGUCCAGGGCAUGGCUGCUCCCCCGCGCCCCGCCCUCCCCAAACAUCUCUGACGGACGGUUGGCUGCAGCCCAGGAAGCACCGUCGCGCCGCGGCCUGCAUCCCAGCCCCGCCCCUCCGAGCGGGAAGGAGGGCUGUGUGGAAUGCUCCAGCUCCCUCGCCAGCCUAAACGCAAGCCCGCUCUUUCCAGUGCAAUAAAACGAGAUGUACAACAA